RNAcentral lists this ribosomal RNA (831 nucleotides) under Triticum aestivum (bread wheat). Its description in RNAcentral is "partial small subunit ribosomal RNA". Lineage: Eukaryota; Viridiplantae; Streptophyta; Magnoliopsida; Poales; Poaceae. The record is from RNAcentral.
GUCAUCUACACAGAUGAGGAGGCUUACUAGCGCUUGCGGGGUACGCAAAAUUGGGUCCUCAAGGGGUACGCCAAUACCGCCUAUUUCCAGGCCAUCGCCAACGGCCGGCGCCACCGUAACUCCAUCCCUCUCCUUUGGGAUGGAGAGACCCUCCUACAGUAGCUGGAGGAAAUUUGGGCCCAUGUGGACGGCUUUUACAGAGACCUAUUCUCUGCCUCCCCUCGGGGAGGGCUAGCCCUCGCACACGACAUUUGGCCUGCCCACCGACGUGUCCCGCCGGUGGACAAUGUGGCCUUGACGGCCCCGUUCUCCGAGGCUGAAGUCUGGGCGGCCAUUAAAGGCAUGAAUCCCUCGUCGGCCCCUGGUCCGGAUGGCCUCCCGGUGAAGUUCUUCCAGACCUUCUGGGAGGUUAUUAAACCAGAGGUGAUGGCCCUCUUUGAGCAGUUCUAUGUUGGCUCCAUAGAUCUUACCAGGCUGAACUUUGGGAUUAUCACCCUCAUUCCCAAAGUACCUGGAGCUUCAGAUAUUCGCCUGUUCCGACCGAUUACGGUGAUCAAUUUUGUCUUCCGCAUCCUUGGCAAGGGGUACGCCAUUAGGGUGGCCUCAAUUGCGGAUCAGAUCACACACCCGGAUCAGUCGGCAUUCAUCCAAGGCCGGUAUAUCCUUGAUGGAGUCCUAGUGUUUCACGAAGCUCUCCAUGAGGUGCACACCAAAGACCUCAAGGCAGUUUUCCUGAAACUAGAAUUCCACAAGGCUUACGACACGGUCAGUUGGCCCUUCCUCCGGGAAUGCUUGCUCCGGAAGGGAUUCGACGAUCGCUGGGUGACCUGA